AAACUUCGCAAUAAGCGAAAGCUUGACGGGGCUAUCCCGAGUGCCAUCCGCUGAGGAUGGCUUUUCUCUAGUAUAGAUAGCUGGAGGAAUAAGGAGAGGGCAAGUCUGGUGUCAGCCGCCGCGGUAAUACCAGCUCUCCGAGUGGUGUGGAUGAUUAUUGGGCCUGAAGCAUCCGUAGCUGGCUGGACAAGUCCCCUGUUAAAUCCAGCGAUUCAAUCGUUGGCGUGCGGGGGAUACUGUUCGGCUAGGGGGCGAGAGAGGCCGUCGGUAUUCUCGGGGUAGGGGUGAAAUCCUAUAAUCCCGGGAAGACCACCAGUGGCGAAGGCUGUCGGCUAGAACGCGCUCGACGGUGAGGGAUGAAAGCUGGGGGAGCGAACCGG
RNAcentral lists this ribosomal RNA (380 nucleotides) under uncultured archaeon. RNAcentral describes it as "bacterial SSU rRNA". It matches the Rfam family "Archaeal small subunit ribosomal RNA", at positions 345 to 727 of the family's 1478-position model. The record is from RNAcentral.